This is a long non-coding RNA of Crotalus tigris (Tiger rattlesnake), 3106 nucleotides long. RefSeq lists it as uncharacterized. Lineage: Eukaryota; Metazoa; Chordata; Lepidosauria; Squamata; Viperidae. The transcript is spliced from 7 exons. The record is from RefSeq and is a predicted model, not a curated record.
CCUUCCUUCCUUCCUUCCUUCCUUCCUUCCUUCCUUCCUUCCUUCCUUCCUCCCUCUCUCCCCCUCCUUCCUUCACUCCUUUCCUUCUUUCUUUCCUUCCAUGUGAGUCCUCCCCUCUCCUCAUGAAAUUCCCAAACCGAAAGAAAAAUAGGACUAAGGUUUCUACUAGUUCACAUUUUGGACAAGAUCCCGCAUCUGGAGAAGUAAGGAGAAUUCCCAAGCCUUUCGCAUUCUUCACUUCCCCUAUUAAGAAAGAACUCAACCAGCCCUGUUGUGCUCCUUGCCUUUAAUUCCCUCUUUUGGUUGAAGCUGAAUUACUGCUUUGUUCUUUUCGGAGGCUCCAGCCGUUAUUUCUCCUGCAGAGAGAGAGAGAGAGAGAGACCCAAAGGUGCUGGGACUGGCCUGCUAAUCUGAGCUGGAUCUAGAAGUGAGUUGGAGAGUCUGGUUUUGAAGGCCGACUAGACAACGAUCAACAUGAUAGCCAUGCUGGAAGAGCACGGAGGUGCUGGGUGGAGGGCUUGGCCCCAGUUCCACCUUUAUGGAGACAGUGGGAACAUCUGGGAAAAGCCUUACUUGAACCAUGGCAAAGUAGACUGGUUGAACUCACUCAAGAAUCCUUGGCCAUAUCAAUCGUUCCAUCUGUUGAUAGCAUGAAGACGGUUCAGGCCAAUAUUGAGUGGAUGAACACAAUCGGAGCUUGUCACAACACAAGUGAUGUGGCUUUCCAUAACUACUAUGAUUGAAGGAGCUGCUGCAUGCUGCCUGCGAUUUGACAGACAUGGUUUCCGCACAAAGAAGCACUUUAUAAUUGCCUUGAACUUUGAGGUGGCUUCUCUGGAAAUCUGCUCAGAUGCUCCGCGCCUCCCGCCUGCUUCUCUUGAACGCAGCCUGCGUGAGAGGCAUCCAGCCUCCAGCAUCCAGGCACCCCAUCUGUGGCUCCGUCUUCCAGCAGAGAUCUCGUUUGAAGCCAAUUUUGCUCCAGGCUUUGAGCUGUGCUGGAAUGUUUUGAAAAAAGAACUGUCUUUUGCUCAACCAGAUUAAGAGAUGAAUCGUGCGCUUUCAGACUGCAAACAUUAACAGCUCCUGAAAGGUAGCAGUGAGUUCUCCUUCUGUCCUAUGCAUUGCCCACACACGUGAUUCCACUGAGGCUGAAGCUAAGAUUGGAUCCAUCCAUUCAAACAUAUAAAUAUUUAACUCUUUAAUGUUGGUUAAAUCUGCUCCGCCUCUAGGGCUGCAUUGAAAGCUUCCAGGAGAAGGUGUGGCUGAAUUCCCCGAUUUACAAAGGUGCCAAAAUCAGCCUCAAUCUGAUCUGAACGGGAGAUUUGAUUCAGGCCAUCAGAAUCCAUCUGACAAUCUGAUUCAGAUCCUUGAGUUGGUUCCGCUGACGGCUGGAUCGGUUUGAAAUGCAGUUUUCGGAUUAAACGGUUUGGAUUUGAAUUGACGUUAUAAAAUGGGGGCCAUCUGCAAAGACAUCCGUUGAAAUAAGGAUAAAUUUUCUGACAGGACAAUUAAUCGGUUGCCUCCUGGGGCUGUUGAUGCGCCAUCCCACAGCCAUUUGACCGAGAUGGUACUAUAAAGUCUCUUGCCUUGAGCAGGGGGUUGGACUGGAAGACCUCCGAGGUACCUUUCAGUCCUAGGAUCCUAUGAUUUUAUGAUUCUGAGAAGAAAGAGUACAACUUGCGGAAAAUAUUUUGGAUUUCUUAAAAAAAAAAACCCAAAUCCUAUGGCUUACCUCCCUUGGAUGUGCAGAGAUAAAUUUAAGUUUUCCAUGACAUGAGCUUCGGUGGCGCCUGUGAUGUUAAUACUCCUUACAGCAUCUAGGAGAGCAAGAGAUAAGGAAGAAAAGAUAACGAGAAACGCAACUUCAGCAUCCUGGUGAAAUGUCCCAUUUUCUGGACAGCCUCGUUGGGGGGCGCCAUGCUCAUCCCCUCUCGUCUCCAUUCUGCAGCGAUGUGGAACAUUGCAAUGGAAUCUUAUUAGGAAACAGAGCCGGCAUUUCUAGUCGCGUUUUUUGUCUGGUAUACCUGGAAGGCUGACCUCCUCCUUGCAAAUCUGAAGGUCCAAAUCUCCCUCAGCCUCCUUUAACCAUCUGUGGGCCCUUCCGAUGUUUUCUCUCCACCCAUUAAGACACUGGGGCAGUGGUGGGAUUCAGCCAGUUCGCACCAGUUCGGCAGAACCGGUAGCUAAUUUUGGUUGCCCAGGCCCAGAAUGGACCUCCGAAAGCAGCAUCCACACAGAGAACCGGUUAUUCACCUGUUUGAAUCCCACCACUGCACUGGGGGCUCCCCCCUCUCUUAUCUGAUUGUUUCCUAGAUACCAUCUCUUCCCUUCAUCCCCCAAAAUCAUUCUCACGUACCAUUACGCCCACUUCCCAAACCCAGAACAAAUCAAGGCAGAAUUGAAUCGUUGGAUGAGGUACAUCCUAGUCCAGGGGUAGGCAACCUUGGCUCAGGAAUUCUGGGAAUUGAAGUCCACAAGUCAUAAAAGAGCCAAGGUUGCCUACCCCUGGACUAGUCCCUCUUCAACUGCAAAGACUGAGGGAAGAAUGCCCAAACAUUCAUUAAAAGUUAUAAGAAUGGCUUUAGACACCGAGGGUUGGCAACUUACAGCCACGCAACUGCCUCUGCCCAUGUUAGCUGAAAAUAGGUGACACAAUUUUCCAACAUGCUAAAAUAGGGGACUUGCAGGGAAACCCUAAGAGAGGUUUAAUAUAGCCUUUAACCGGAAAUCCAGAAGAACAUGAUUUUAUUUUUAAAUGAUUGCUGCAAUCUCAUUCCAUAUUAGUUCAGCCUUGUAUCAUAGCUUUGCAAUUCCUGAUCUAUUUUAGAAAAAAAAUAUAUAGCAUUUAUCAGGUUUUUUUAGGCUCUCUUCAUUUCACAAUUCUUGCUUUCCUGAUAAAAGGCAGACACGUUUUCAUUAAACAAAGUCAGGAUUUACUUGCCAAACGAGGCCCUGGCUUGUUUUAACUCUAGUUUGCCAUCAAGUCAUUGUGGCUUGAUUUUUUUUUUUGACUUAAAACUUAGCCCUUGUGCGAAACCAACUAACUGCAGCUUAGCUAAGAAAUCCUGGUUGAAGAAUCCAAGCUUUAAAGCCUGGAUCCAGCCAA